CCUACGGGUGGCAGCAGUGAGGAAUAUUGGUCAAUGGACGGAAGUCUGAACCAGCCAUGCCGCGUGCAGGAUGACGGCUCUAUGAGUUGUAAACUGCUUUUGUAUUAGGGUAAACACCCCUACGUGUAGGGGCUUGCAAGGAUAAUAAGAAUCAGGAUCGGCUAACUCCGUGCCAGCGGCCGCGGUAAUACGGAGGAACCAAGCGUUAUCCGGAUUUAUUGGGUUUAAAGGGUGCGUAGGCGGUUUGAUAAGUUAGAUGGGAAAGACCGGGGCUCAACACCGGAAAUGCAUUUAAUACUGUUGAACUAGAGAGUAGGUGCGGUAGGCGGAAUGUAUGGUGUAGCGGUGAAAUGCUUAGAGAUCA
Molecule: ribosomal RNA, 364 nt
Filed under: uncultured bacterium
Lineage: Bacteria
Description: partial 16S ribosomal RNA
Rfam family: Bacterial small subunit ribosomal RNA
Source: RNAcentral